UUUUUGGAAGUAAACAAAUAUUGAAGAAAGUGUUGUGCCUUCACAGAAUUUAAAUUGGCAUUAGGAAUAGAUUUCCUUGAUUUAGUAAUGAUAUUGCUCAUAGAAAUUGUUAAUGUGAAGAAUAACAAUACAGGAACAUAGAAUAACAAGAAAGAAAUUCUAGCAGCAAGUUAGGUUAUGAGAUAAAUUUUAUUUAUAUAGUUUGUUUAAAGAGUUUAGUUUGAAAAAAAGUUAAAACAAUUAUUAUUGUCCAGGUCAUAUUUGAUAACUGUUGUUAAUUGAUAACAUAUUACAGGGACACAGUAAAAAGACAAAACAUUUAGACCCUUUGAAAGAGAAAUGUUUGCAAUGGAUAUUAAUAAAUUCUAGCCAAUUUGUACGAUGUACAAUGCAGGCAAUAUUUCUGCCUCCUAACGCACUAUUCGCUUAAAAGAAGAUAACAGAUUUAUUAUUAGUUGGCUAGUGUGUUAGUAGGAUAGCCAUUGGUAGUUAUAAAGUAUGAAGUCGUCAGGUAUUAAUAAUAGGAAUUGAUCAAAGCUUAUACAUUUAUUGUGAUAUUUAUAUUGUGAAUUUAAGUAGUUAGAGUUUUGGUUGUUUAAUAAACGAAUUAAUGUGC
RNAcentral lists this long non-coding RNA (616 nucleotides) under Sitophilus oryzae (rice weevil). Its description in RNAcentral is "uncharacterized LOC115884990, transcript variant X1". The record is from RNAcentral. Lineage: Eukaryota; Metazoa; Arthropoda; Insecta; Coleoptera; Curculionidae.